This 84-nucleotide transfer RNA is filed under the name Methylobacterium nodulans ORS 2060. Its description in RNAcentral is "tRNA-Asn". The record is from RNAcentral. Lineage: Bacteria; Pseudomonadati; Pseudomonadota; Alphaproteobacteria; Hyphomicrobiales; Methylobacteriaceae.
UCGAGUUAGAUCAGGUGUUUAGUGCGUCAGAACGUUGUUCUGGGGGACUAGGGGUCGUGGGUUCGAAUCCCGCCGCUCCGACCA